This 468-nucleotide ribosomal RNA is filed under the name uncultured bacterium. RNAcentral describes it as "partial 16S ribosomal RNA". It matches the Rfam family "Bacterial small subunit ribosomal RNA", at positions 28 to 507 of the family's 1533-position model. The record is from RNAcentral.
GACGAACGCUGGCGGCGUGCUUAACACAUGCAAGUCGAACGGAAAGGCCCUGCUUUUGUGGGUUGCUCGAGUGGCGAACGGGUGAGUAACACGUGAGUAACCUGCCCUUGACUUUGGGAUAACUUCAGGAAACUGGGGCUAAUACCGGAUAGGAGCUCCUGCUGCAUGGUGGGGGUUGGAAAGUUUCGGCGGUUGGGGAUGGACUCGCGGCUUAUCAGCUUGUUGGUGGGGUAGUUGCUGACCAAGGCUUUGACGGGUAGCCGGCCUGAGAGGGUGACCGGGCACCUUGGGACUGAGAGACGGCGCAGAAGCGAACGGGAGGCAGCAGUGGGGAGUAUUGCACAAUGGGCGGAAGCCUGAGACAGCAACGCCGGGUGCGGAAUGAUCGCCUUCGGGUUGUAAACAGCUUUGGACUGAGACGAAGCGUGAGUGACGGUAAUGGGUAAAGAAGCACCGGCUAACUACGUG